GGGGCCAGCCUCGUGGGUUCGAUUCCUUCGC
RNAcentral lists this transfer RNA (31 nucleotides) under Symbiodinium sp. clade D. RNAcentral describes it as "partial Selenocysteine transfer RNA". Lineage: Eukaryota; Dinophyceae; Suessiales; Symbiodiniaceae. The record is from RNAcentral.